GACGAACGCUGGCGGCGUGCUUUACACAUGCAAGUCGAACGGUGAAGGUGGAGCUUGCUCCGCCGGAUCAGCGGCGAACGGGUGAGUAACACGUGGGCAACCUGCCCCUAACUUUGGGAUAACUACUCGAAAGAGUAGCUAAUACCGGAUAUGAAGUCUGUAGGCGUCUAUGGAUUUGGAAAGUUUUUCGGUUAGGGAUGGGCCCGCGGCCUAUCAGCUUGUUGGUGAGGUAGUGGCUCACCAAGGCGACGACGGGUAGCCGGCCUGAGAGGGCGACCGGCCACACUGGGACUGAGACACGGCCCAGACUCCUACGGGAGGCAGCAGUGGGGAAUAUUGCGCAAUGGGCGAAAGCCUGACGCAGCAACGCCGCGUGCGGGAUGAAGGCCUUCGGGUUGUAAACCGCUUUCAGCAGGGAAGAAGCGAAAGUGACGGUACCUGCAGAAGAAGCACCGGCUAACUACGUGCCAGCCGCCGCAGUAA
Molecule: ribosomal RNA, 483 nt
Filed under: uncultured bacterium
Lineage: Bacteria
Description: partial 16S ribosomal RNA
Rfam family: Bacterial small subunit ribosomal RNA
Source: RNAcentral